Long non-coding RNA from Culex pipiens pallens (northern house mosquito), 3059 nucleotides. RefSeq lists it as uncharacterized. NCBI's taxonomy places the organism in Eukaryota, Metazoa, Arthropoda, Insecta, Diptera, Culicidae. The record is from RefSeq and is a predicted model, not a curated record. The transcript is spliced from 6 exons.
AUCUGACACAUCGAAUGUGUACACCGCGUUGUUCUGAAAUCGAUGUGCCGAUUCUACACAUUGAGCUGGUUUUUGCUCAAAAAGCCAUCCAAUGUGUAAAUUUUUAUUUUGCCAGCUUCACUGAAGUUGCCGUUGGGUGUCGCCACUUGUCUGGGACUUAGACGUCAGAUCUAAAAAAAAACACGUGUCAUCAUAAAGCAGCAAAUUCCCCAGUUAUUUCUUUGUUAUGUGAGUAUUUUGCAUGUUUGGCAUUUAAUUUGACUGAAAAGUCAUUUUGUUAACGGCCCAGUUAAUUCUUUAAAACUUUGCUGCUAUUUUUUUCUCCAGAACCCGUCAACCAACAAAGUGUUCCCGCCGGGGCCGGUCCCUGUGCAGCUCGCGCUCAUUUCUCGUCCCGAGUCCUACCAGCCGGCUAUCUCAAACAGGGUCGCCCUGGGACGGGUCGGGACACAACAAAAAGAGCUAUUUCCAGGGCUAACUGCACAAUUCCAACGACACUCGGACCGUCCGCUGUCCCAGUCCCAAUUUCUUGGUCGCGAUCUAACUAUGACUCAACCCUCCGAGGAGGAGAACUUCUCUGCGGCACACCAGGACUGCUCCGGUUCCCGAAUCUCGCAGGUCAACCGCACAUAUGAAAGAUACGGUGAAGGAAUGCGAGAGAGGCCGUCGAAGCUGACGUCAGGUUCCAGCACAAUCUGCCCGGACUUCCGAAUGAGAAUCCGCCCAUUACGCAGGACUUUCUGUGAAGAUCGUCGAUCUGAGGCAGUUUUGGACACAUUACGUGUAACCGGAUGGGAUGGAAUCAUUAAACUAAAUGAAGCGGAACUCGAUAAAUACUAUACAAGUGUCGUGACAUCUGGCGCACGGCCGUCCAGCACGGCAACAUCUGUUGGAGAAACGGCCUACAACACAAGCAUGGCCACGAUGACGGACGAGGCUGAAUCAUGAUCCGGGCUGAGUUGCAAUGUUAUGCCGAACGGAAUAACCAGGACCAUGAUCUCUGAAACGCACCAAAGUUUGUUAUGAAAGGAAAACCGCACUCGACGACGACGACGACUUGGCCAGGAAGAGCGACGACGUUGACGAGGAAGAGCUGCAGAGCGGUGCUCGCAAAACAUGCACCAAGUAAACACGGAAUAGUUCAGCCGAGGACGGCGAACCGGCGAGAACGAUCGCUUUGGUGGCCACUACGUCGAAAGCUGACAACAAACAGAUCCCAUUACAACGGUGACCACGGAUUGUUGGCGAACUAAUCGCUUGCAGCUCAAUCUACGAUAAGAAAUUUUUCGAUGCCGCCAGUUGGUGCUCAACUCAGUUUGUACACCACCGUCGAGGAAGAAAACGUCACAAUCGGAUAAGAAGGAAUUUCACUGAAGAUGGACCAGCGCAAAUCUGGCAGUCUCGGAGGUCGCACGAUCUUCUAGACGCUGAACAACUCAUCGUAAUUGGCCGCGAGCAACAACAAGAUCGAGGACGUGCUUCUGUUUGGUCGUGACGUGGUCCUGCCAUCGCCACCGGAACGAUCGCCCAGAGACCUGUUGGAGCUGGGAAGGCCGUGCGCGGUUCGCCAUCAAACAGCUAUUCUAGUGGGCGGACGAAAUCGAGUUCGAGUUGAUUGUGCGGGUUGAUCCGGCCGCCCGCGAGAAAAUGGAACGAAGCGUCCGCUCCAGCUUCCACAUUCUGAAGACCGCAAAGCAACCGUCCCGGUCGCUGCAGCACAACAACGAGCAGCCAAGAGAGUACCAAGAGAAUAAGACCCGCCGGACAUAUAGUUGUGGUUCCAGCGCCGGCCAGCGGCGCCACAUCACCGUCGGAAGCCCGUUGCGACUUGAGAACGCACACAGCCCGAACCGACCGGAAAUUGCAGCUCCAGCCAACGACCCCCAACCUGUUGCUCGUCCUUUACCGAUCAUGCAACGCACCAUUCGUAAUGACAAAGUUAAACCUCCGCCGCCGUCGUAGCAAACAGACGCGCAACUCACUUCUGCGCAGCCGCAGCCCGUCUAGAACGGAUGUCCGACGUACGGACCGCCCGAAUAAGUACCACCUCCGCAGCAACAAUAUCGAGCCUGUGCCGGCAUCAUGAUCAGACCACCACAGCAGCAGCAGCUCGAGCGGUGGGAAAGUGCCGUUCCCUGGCCCGUAGGUGGCACCUUCCGCCGUCCUCGAGUGCGGAAUCGCGAUUCGUGGGAGCACCGGGCCACCCCGUCCAGUCGAAUGAAGUGUCUGAUCCGAUCUGCGAUGACGAGUAGACCGACGCGAUCAAAAGGACAGACGACGCCAACGACAAGGAAGAACCGGAAGCUUCGGAGAACUAAUCCGAGGCGGGACAAUUCGGGAGCGAGAUCCGAGGUUGCCUGCUAGUGCUCGCGUACGGAUCGCCUCAGGGUACCUGCUCGUGGCGCUCUCAACGCUGAGCACAACAAGCAGUCGCUGUUGGCGUUCUGGUACCUGGCCAUGAUCCUAAUCCUGGCCAACGUGGCCCUGGUGGCCAGCUGUAUGGACAUUAAUUACUUGAUUGUCCGGUACCAAACCAGGUGUUUGACUUUCUCGAUACAACAAUGCCGACCACGACAACCGGAGCCAUGUUGCUGAAUGCUGCGGAUGUGCUGCCAGCACAGUAGAUUCCUUCCGCGUCAAAUGGCCGUACCCUCCAGAAUCUGCACUGUGCCUUCAUCAAAUCAUACGACGACGAACCAGCUGGCCGUGUUAUAGGGUUGGCUACGUGCGUCUCGCUUCGGAUACUGAUAGCGUCCGAAGUGUUCACAAGUGUGUUAUAAUUUGUAAUAAUUCAGCACCAAUAUUUUGUUUAAAUAAAUGUUUUGAAAUUUAAUCUUUUUUUGAUGAAAACAUAAAGAAAACAAGUUAUAUCUAUUCAACAACAGGUGGCAGCACAAUAUUCCCGCUAUCCAAAAGGUUUCAAUUUUUGCCACCAGGCGGCUACCGCCAAAUCAAAAGUUACACAUUGGAUGCGUUUUUGGCCAGAAUCCAGCCAAUGUGUUCCGGGCUGUUUACACGGCGCGAUGGUUGAAGCGUGGUCUUGUGCGAAAAUGGUUGGA